UAUAGCAUAUCAAUAAGCGGAGGAAAAGAAACCAACAGGGAUUGCCCUAGUAACGGCGAGUGAAGCGGCAACAGCUCAAAUUUGAAAUCUGGCGUCUUUGGCGUCCGAGUUGUAAUUUGCAGAGGGCGCUUUGGCAUUGGCAGCGGUCCAAGUUCCUUGGAACAGGACGUCACAGAGGGUGAGAAUCCCGUACGUGGUCGCUAGCCUUUACCGUGUAAAGCCCCUUCGACGAGUCGAGUUGUUUGGGAAUGCAGCUCUAAAUGGGAGGUAAAUUUCUUCUAAAGCUAAAUACUGGCCAGAGACCGAUAGCGCACAAGUAGAGUGAUCGAAAGAUGAAAAGCACUUUGGAAAGAGAGUUAAAAAGCACGUGAAAUUGUUGAAAGGGAAGCGCUUGCAGCCAGACUUGCCUGUAGUUGCUCAUCCGGGUUUUUACCCGGUGCACUCUUCUACGGGCAGGCCAGCAUCAGUUUGGGCGGUUGGAUAAAGGUCUCUGUCAUGUACCUCCUCUCGGGGAGAUCUUAUAGGGGAGACGACAUGCAACCAGCCUGGACUGAGGUCCGCGCAUCUGCUAGGAUGCUGGCGUAAUGGCUGUAAGCGGCCCGUCUUGAAACACGGACCAAGGAGUCUAACAUCUAUGCGAGUGUUUGGGUGUCAAGCCCGAACGCGUAAUGAAAGUGAACGGAGGUGGGAACCUUUCGGGGUGCACCAUCGACCGAUCCUGAUGUCUUCGGAUGGAUUUGAGUAAGAGCAUAGCUGUUGGGACCCGAAAGAUGGUGAACUAUGCUUGAAUAGGGUGAAGCCAGAGGAAACUCUGGUGGAGGCUCGCAGCGGUUCUGACGUGCAAAUCGAUCGUCAAAUUUGGGCAUAGGGGCGAAAGACUAAUCGAACUAUCUAGUAGCUGGUUCUGCGA
This 910-nucleotide ribosomal RNA is filed under the name Epicoccum tritici. RNAcentral's name for it is "partial 28S ribosomal RNA". It matches the Rfam family "Eukaryotic large subunit ribosomal RNA", at positions 35 to 964 of the family's 3401-position model. The record is from RNAcentral. Lineage: Eukaryota; Fungi; Ascomycota; Dothideomycetes; Pleosporales; Didymellaceae.